This 31-nucleotide non-coding RNA is filed under the name Mus musculus (house mouse). The record is from RNAcentral. Lineage: Eukaryota; Metazoa; Chordata; Mammalia; Rodentia; Muridae.
UAAUUGAUGCCACCUGGAUGGCCUUGUCCCU